AUACGUAGGGGGCGAGCGUUGUCCGGAUUUAUUGGGCGUAAAGGGUGCGUAGGCGGCCUUGUAAGUCAGAUGUGAAAGAUCAUGGCUUAACUGUGGUAAGCAUUUGAAACUGCAGGGCUUGAGUACAGGAGAGGAGAGUGGAAUUCCUAGUGUAGCGGUGAAAUGCGUAGAUAUUAGGAGGAAUACCAGUGGCGAAGGCGACUCCCUGGACUGAUACUGACGCUGAGGCACGAAAGCGUGGGGAGCAAACAGGAUUAGAUACCCUGGUAGUCCACGCUAUAAACGAUGAGUGCUAGGUGUCGGGGGUCAAACCUCGGUGCCGCAGUUAACACAUUAAGCACUCCGCCUGGGGAGUACGGCCGCAAGGCUGAAACUCAAAGGAAUUGACGGGG
RNAcentral lists this ribosomal RNA (392 nucleotides) under uncultured bacterium. RNAcentral describes it as "partial 16S ribosomal RNA". It matches the Rfam family "Bacterial small subunit ribosomal RNA", at positions 523 to 918 of the family's 1533-position model. The record is from RNAcentral.